RNAcentral lists this ribosomal RNA (513 nucleotides) under uncultured bacterium. Its description in RNAcentral is "partial 16S ribosomal RNA". It matches the Rfam family "Bacterial small subunit ribosomal RNA", at positions 28 to 523 of the family's 1533-position model. The record is from RNAcentral.
GAUGAACGCUGGCGGCGUGCCUAAUACAUGCAAGUCGAGCGAACAGACGAGGAGCUUGCUCCUCUGACAUUAGCGGUGGACGGGUGAGUAACACGUGGAUAACCUACCUAUAAGACUGGGAUAACUUCGGGAAACCGGAGCUAAUACCGGAUAACAUGUUGAACCGCAUGGUUCAGCAGUGAAAGACGGUCUUGCUGUCACUUAUAGAUGGAUCCGCGCCGCAUUAGCUAGUUGGUAAGGUAACGGCUUACCAAGGCAACGAUGCGUAGCCGACCUGAGAGGGUGAUCGGCCACACUGGAACGGAGACACGGUCCAGACUCCUACGGGAGGCAGCAGUAGGGAAUCUUCCGCAAUGGGCGAAAGCCUGACGGAGCAACGCCGCGUGAGUGAAGAAGGUCUUCGGAUCGUAAAACUCUGUUAUUAGGGAAGAACAAAUGUGUAAGUAACUAUGCACGUCUUGACGGUACCUAAUCAGAAAGCCACGGCUAACUACGUGCCAGCCGCCGCCGUAA